ACGAACGCUGGCGGCGUGCCUAACACAUGCAAGUCGAACGGAGUCAAGAAGCUCGCUUUUGACUUAGUGGCGGACGGGUGAGUAACGCGUGAGUAACCUGCCUCUGAGAGGGGAAUAACGUUCUGAAAGAACGCUAAUACCGCAUAAUGUAUCGAAGCCGCAUGACUUUGAUACCAAAGAUUUUAUCGCUCGGAGAUGGACUCGCGUCCGAUUAGUUAGUUGGUGAGGUAACGGCUCACCAAGACCGCGAUCGGUAGCCGGACUGAGAGGUUGAUCGGCCACAUUGGGACUGAGACACGGCCCAGACUCCUACGGGAGGCAGCAGUGGGGGAUAUUGCGCAAUGGGGGACAACCCUGAACCGCAGCAACGCCGCGUGAAGGAUGAAGGUUUUCGGAUUGUAAACUUCUUUUAUCAGGGACGAAGCUUGACGGUACCUGAUGAAUAAGCUCCGGCUAACUACGUGCCAGCCGCCGC
RNAcentral lists this ribosomal RNA (475 nucleotides) under uncultured bacterium. Its description in RNAcentral is "bacterial SSU rRNA". It matches the Rfam family "Bacterial small subunit ribosomal RNA", at positions 29 to 518 of the family's 1533-position model. The record is from RNAcentral.